Molecule: long non-coding RNA, 2277 nt
Organism: Polyodon spathula (Mississippi paddlefish)
Lineage: Eukaryota; Metazoa; Chordata; Actinopteri; Acipenseriformes; Polyodontidae
Exons: 3
Source: RefSeq, a predicted model, not a curated record
UUACAAUAAUUUACCAUUUGGUGGUAUUGUGUAGCAACUUAAAAUCCCAAAUGAAGAAACUAUAGUUGAAUGUGUUGCUACUGGUUGCACUUUGUGGUAAUAAAAAUAAAAUUGGAAGUGUGUGUAAAUAAUAGCAUUGAAGAGAAAUAAGUUGGAGUCCAGAUAUCUCUCCGCAGACUGUGGCACUCAAACAUGUGUAUCAGAAUCGUAUAUUAAGCGCUGAGCGUGUGAUAUGUAAAUGGCAGGGAGUGCAGUCUGUGGGGCUCAUCCACUCUUGGAUUCUUUGUAUAAUAAUGAUUGUAUAGUGUAAUCUUGACAGUUAAAUGUAAACGUGAAUGAUUUGUGCACAGUUUUAUUUUUGCUAGUUGCAAGAGAAAAAAAAAUACUGUUCUCGGAUUGAUUGCAUUGGAAAGCAGAUAAUUAUCUCACCUUCUAUUCUCACUGCCAAGGGCCUGCAGUCAGACUGUAUUUCUGUGCUAAUCCGUCUUUGCCACACAAGGUGAAGCUGCCUGCUUCAGGCUAUGAGAGAUGUAGCUGCUGGAAGAGGUCUCUGUGUUGCUUGUGAAGUGAUGCAAUAGUCAUCAGUACGAGCACAGAGACCUGCCCAUAAAAGGCAUUUACCGUAUACAUUGAACAAAAUGCAAUUUUAAGCAGUAUUCUUGAAUCUGGGGCACAUGCUGGAUGUACUGAAAAUAUAACAGAAAGUCUUUAAGCAUCAGAAGAUACUUGUAUGCCUGUAAUGUAAUAAAGAAAGAGUAUAUGCUAUUCAGAAAGCAUUGGGUUUUGUAACAUCUAUGACUGCAUUCUGUCUUUGCUUUAGUGACUUUUUCAGAAGAGGAAAAGGAGCAGCUGAGAAAAUUCACCAACAAAUCCUACCUGUUAGAUAAAAAGGCCUCUCAUCAAGUAUGGACCAGCCUAGUUGAUAUAAUUCUGGCGUAUGCCUAUGAAGUCCGCACCACUGAAGGAGAAACAAACGUUGAAUCAGCGUGGAAUAUAAGGAAGUUGAGUGGAACGCUCAGCUGGCUGGAGAAAGAAGCGUUUCCUGAGCACACUAGAUAAUUGAAACUGAAAUGACUGGGUCUGUUGAUUUGAGGAGAGGAUGGGAAGAAGUAUCCCAGCUGUUUGGGCUGGAGCCAGGCGUGAUGCAUUAUUCACAUUUCAUCUGAUAAAUGAGACAUCAAGCAUCCUGAGGCCUGCUACCUCCUACACCAGCAGCCUUCAGCAGAACCAAGAUAAAUUAGGAGGCAUGUCAGGAGGAGGCCGCCUUUUAUUGUGAAUUCAUUUUUGAAAGGAGUUCAAUUUAUCGCACCUCCUCAGUUUCAUAUCAGAACUUCCUGAUGCAAUAAAUUAACAAUUGAUAUAUUGACAAUUCAUUUUUAUAGUGGAUGGGUGGAGUUACGUUAUAGUGCUUCUGCUGUGUGUCAUUUCAUUUCUGCUUUUGCCAGCUUUGUAACCUUGACAAGUGAAACAGACAAAGCUCUGCGAUCCUUGCAUUUCAUUUAUUUAGCAGAGUUAUGUUGCAAUGCAAGCAGACAGAGAUUCCGGUCUUUAAAGAAUUAUGUUUGCAUGUCAUAUUGAUCAUGCAGAUAAUACUAAGGUAGUUCUUAUUCAUAUGAAAAUACAGUACUGUAUGACAUUAUACAAGUUGAAUGAUAUCAUAACCAUGUAUACUAUACUUUAGAAGACUCUGCCUCCAAACAUAAUGAUAAUGACUGCACCACUCUCAAAACGCAGUCAGAGAUGGUUGCAAUGAUUAACAAAUCUAUUUUGCAAUUAAGUCUUUUAUAGAACCUUUUUUUUUUUUUUUUCACUGCGUUAAAGCAGAUAAUCCAUCUCCUGAAAAAAUUGAACAGAUUAAAUUCUUCUGAUAAUUAAAACACAGGCUUUACUGGAGUCUUUAAGGUCUCCACAAGUAUUUACUUAAAAAGUAUUUACUCUAAAAGGAGGUCAUUAGGAGUAAUUAGUGUAUAAACUGCUGCAAUUAGUUCUGAGUUACCCUGUUUUUUGGUAAUCCUUUCAUUACUCUAACUCCCAGCAAAUCAGAGGUGGUGUUGUAGCAGAAGUAAAAAUUAUAAAUGCUGAAUCAGACUAAUUACUGCCUUAAUUGAAAUAUUAGUAUUUUAUUGAAAAUCUCAGGGACAUGGUGCUACAAAAUUUUGACUGUUAAUUAUAUUUUAUUUAUAAAAAUAAACACAUUCUAAUUCACAGGAUUCCAUUCUUGAGCAAUACCGGACAUCAGAUAAUAGAAACCAAGUACCAUAUAUGAGAUGCAUCUAG